RNAcentral lists this ribosomal RNA (637 nucleotides) under Enterobacter hormaechei subsp. steigerwaltii. RNAcentral describes it as "partial 23S ribosomal RNA". It matches the Rfam family "Bacterial large subunit ribosomal RNA", at positions 1220 to 1839 of the family's 2925-position model. The record is from RNAcentral. Lineage: Bacteria; Pseudomonadati; Pseudomonadota; Gammaproteobacteria; Enterobacterales; Enterobacteriaceae.
GUUGUUGGGUAGGGGAGCGUUCUGUAAGCCGUUGAAGGUGUGCUGUGAGGCAUGCUGGAGGUAUCAGAAGUGCGAAUGCUGACAUAAGUAACGAUAAAGCGGGUGAAAAGCCCGCUCGCCGGAAGACCAAGGGUUCCUGUCCAACGUUAAUCGGGGCAGGGUGAGUCGACCCCUAAGGCGAGGCCGAAAGGCGUAGUCGAUGGGAAACAGGUUAAUAUUCCUGUACUUGGUGUUACUGCGAAGGGGGGACGGAGAAGGCUAUGUCAGCCGGGCGACGGUUGUCCCGGUUUAAGCAUGUAGGCGGAGGUUCCAGGUAAAUCCGGUACCUUAUUAACGCUGAGGUGUGAUGACGAGGCACUACGGUGCUGAAGUGAUAAAUGCCCUGCUUCCAGGAAAAGCCUCUAAGCAUCAGGUAACACGAAAUCGUACCCCAAACCGACACAGGUGGUCAGGUAGAGAAUACCAAGGCGCUUGAGAGAACUCGGGUGAAGGAACUAGGCAAAAUGGUGCCGUAACUUCGGGAGAAGGCACGCUGAUGUGUAGGUGAAGCCCCUGCGGGUGGAGCUGAAAUCAGUCGAAGAUACCAGCUGGCUGCAACUGUUUAUUAAAAACACAGCACUGUGCAAACACGAAAGUG